RNAcentral lists this unclassified non-coding RNA (245 nucleotides) under uncultured fungus. RNAcentral's name for it is "sequence contains ITS1". The record is from RNAcentral. Lineage: Eukaryota; Fungi.
UUGAUUCAUUCUGUAAUGAUUCCACUCAGACAUGCCAAAAGGUAUAAAAAUACAGGAGUUUGGGUCCCCCGGCGGGCGCCUGGUUCCGGGUCCCAGCACGCCCCCCGCCCCCUAGCCGGGGGAGGGGAGGUCGGGUGCCCGGGGCGAAAAGACCCGCCGAAGCAACGGUGUAGUGGUAUAGGUUCACAGGGGGUUUGGGAGUUGUAAGCUCGGUAAUGAUCCCUCCGCUGGUUCACCAACGGAGA